UACGAAGGGGGCUAGCGUUGUUCGGAAUUACUGGGCGUAAAGCGCACGUAGGCGGACUAUUAAGUCAGGGGUGAAAUCCCGGGGCUCAACCCCGGAACUGCCUUUGAUACUGGUAGUCUAGAGUCCGGAAGAGGUGAGUGGAAUUCCGAGUGUAGAGGUGAAAUUCGUAGAUAUUCGGAGGAACACCAGUGGCGAAGGCGGCUCACUGGUCCGGUACUGACGCUGAGGUGCGAAAGCCAGGGGAGCAAACGGG
RNAcentral lists this ribosomal RNA (253 nucleotides) under uncultured bacterium. RNAcentral describes it as "partial 16S ribosomal RNA". It matches the Rfam family "Bacterial small subunit ribosomal RNA", at positions 524 to 776 of the family's 1533-position model. The record is from RNAcentral.